Molecule: unclassified non-coding RNA, 276 nt
Filed under: Hevea brasiliensis (rubber tree)
Lineage: Eukaryota; Viridiplantae; Streptophyta; Magnoliopsida; Malpighiales; Euphorbiaceae
Source: RNAcentral
UUGGGAUAUCUUCCCAAUUAGAAUGCUAAUUAUAGGAUGAAGAAGAGAAACUUACCAAUUUUCAUUCCCUUUCUCGACUAGAGGUACUAUUUAUACCUCACUAAUCAAGAGGACUUUCGGCUGCCAACAUUUACCUUCAGCCGUCAAAAGUCAACUUCGGCUGCCGAAGUUAACCUUUUGCCUAUCGAAAGCCACUUCUUUGACUUUUCUUUCUUUCUCCUCACCUCCUACUUUAAAACUUUAUCCCACAAGGGUGGGGUGUUGCAACCUCAUUGA